RNAcentral lists this ribosomal RNA (491 nucleotides) under uncultured bacterium. RNAcentral's name for it is "bacterial SSU rRNA". It matches the Rfam family "Bacterial small subunit ribosomal RNA", at positions 501 to 992 of the family's 1533-position model. The record is from RNAcentral.
CUACGUGCCAGCAGCCGCGGUAAUACGUAGGGUGCAAGCGUUAAUCGGAAUUACUGGGCGUAAAGAGUGCGCAGGCGGUUUUGCAAGACCGAUGUGAAAUCCCCGGGCUUAACCUGGGAACUGCAUUGGUGACUGCAAGGCUAGAGUGUGUCAGAGGGAGGUGGAAUUCCGCAUGUAGCAGUGAAAUGCGUAGAUAUGCGGAGGAACACCGAUGGCGAAGGCAGCCUCCUGGGAUAACACUGACGCUCAUGCACGAAAGCGUGGGGAGCAAACAGGAUUAGAUACCCUGGUAGUCCACGCCCUAAACGAUGUCUACUAGUUGUCGGGGAUUAAUUUCCUUGGUAACGCAGCUAACGCGUGAAGUAGACCGCCUGGGGAGUACGGUCGCAAGAUUAAAACUCAAAGGAAUUGACGGGGACCCGCACAAGCGGUGGAUGAUGUGGAUUAAUUCGAUGCAACGCGAAAAACCUUACCUACGCUUGACAUGGCCG